GGGGACGUAGCUCAGCUGGGAGAGCGCCUGGUUUGCAACCAGGAGGUCGGCGGUUCGAUCCCGCUCGUCUCCACCA
This 76-nucleotide transfer RNA is filed under the name Clostridiaceae bacterium. RNAcentral describes it as "tRNA-Ala". It matches the Rfam family "tRNA". Rfam says of the family: Transfer RNA (tRNA) molecules are approximately 80 nucleotides in length. Lineage: Bacteria; Bacillati; Bacillota; Clostridia; Eubacteriales; Clostridiaceae. RNAcentral also lists the same sequence under 1 other name. The record is from RNAcentral.